This is a non-coding RNA of Mycena epipterygia, 90 nucleotides long. The record is from the annotation of a GenBank genome assembly. NCBI's taxonomy places the organism in Eukaryota, Fungi, Basidiomycota, Agaricomycetes, Agaricales, Mycenaceae.
UCGGGCGUGGUGUACGGUACAUGCUCCCCUCUUCUGGCCCAAAGUCGAUAUUGAGUGGGAGAGAGCCGGGUUCGACUCCCGGCGCCCGAG